Long non-coding RNA from Papaver somniferum (opium poppy), 2840 nucleotides. RefSeq lists it as uncharacterized. The transcript has 3 exons. NCBI's taxonomy places the organism in Eukaryota, Viridiplantae, Streptophyta, Magnoliopsida, Ranunculales, Papaveraceae. The record is from RefSeq and is a predicted model, not a curated record.
CAAUUCCAUUUCCUUCUCCAUUGGAGGAUCCAUCCACCAAUAUCUCUCAUCUGUUUGGAUUUCGCUCAUUUAAUAAAUCAUUAGGAUUUCCAUGUUCUUCAUCCACCUCCAUCAUUUCUUCUACCUAUUCAUCUUCUUCUAUUGGAAAUUCUGCAAGAAACUCUGCGGUAACUUGAGACUUUGGUGAAGAUAAAAUUUCAUAACCAAUCUCAUAGUUUCCUAAUUGUGCAUUCCACCUCUCUAUUCUUCCUGACCUCUUCGAAUUCUUCAUUGCGUUUUCAAUUGGUACUCUUUGUAAUACUUUAAUUUUGUGAGCUUGAAAAUAAAUGCGAAGCUUUAAUGAUGCAUAUACCAGUGCGAGAAUCAACUUUUCAAUUUUUCAGUAAUUUUUCUCUGCCGAGUUAUAUGUUUUGCUUAUGUAAUAUAUUGUUUUUCUACACCUUCAUCUGAACGUAACAGUACUUCACUCAAUGCAUGAGAUGUUUAUGCUAGGUGGUGGCAUAUCUCUAAUCGCUUGUACCAUCUCCGGAUCAACUUGUAUUCCCUCCUUGGAUAUAAUAUAUCCUAAAAAUUUUCCUGAUGAUACGCCAUUACACAUUUUUCUGGGUUUACUUUAAUAUUGAAUUUUCACAUUUGUUCAAAUAUUGAUCGCAAAUCAUCAACAUGAUCUUUCGCCUCUUUGCUUUUAGUUAGCAUAUCAUCUACAUAGACUUCUAAUGUUUUAUGUAUCCAUUUUUUUCGAAUACUUUCUGCACCAUUCUUUGAUAAGUUGCACCUGCAUUCUUCAAUCCAAAUGGCAUUUUCGUGUAACAAUAUAAACCUCCUGGUGCGAAGAAAGCAGUGUGUUCUUGAUCUUCUUCUGUCAAAGAAAUUUGAUUCUAGCCUUUAUACCCAUCUAACAUUGUGACUCUAUCAUUCCCUGAUGCCGAUUCCACCAUUUGAGGUAUGUCGGGUAAAGGGAAGCUGUCUUUAGGGCACGCUUUGUUUAGAUCUGUAAAAUCUAUGGAAAUCCUAAUUCCGAUGUUUUUUUUAGGUACCACCACCAUAUUUGCUAUCCACUCUGGAUAUUUUGCCUCCCUUAUAAUUCCUGCAUCUAACAUCUUCUGCAAUGCUGCUUCUAUUUUAGGAUGAUAGUCAGUUGCAAUCUUCCUUGUCCUUUGCCUGAACGGCUUUACAUUCUUCUUAAUGUCUAAUUUAUGACAUGCGACAAUAUCAUUAUAUUCAUACUCCAUGCGAAAAUAUCAUUAUAUUCUCGCAGAAUUCUUAUCGUUUUUUCCUCUUCUUCUUUAUCCAUUUUAGUUCCAAUUCUUUAAAUUUUUGGUUCUUCUCCAGUUCCUAUAUUUAUUUCAUUUGCUGGUUCCGCUGCAGUAAAAUUCGUUUUUGGUUCCCUCAUAGGUGUUGGUUUCUUAAUUUCUUUAAUUUGUCCACCUUCCUCCGCUGGUUCUUCGCCUGGUAUUCCUUUUCCCUCUUUCGCUCUUAUCAUGUAUAUUCGAAAUUCCUCUUCUUUCCUUUGUUCUAUUGCUUUUCUCCAUCGAUCCUUUCGCUUCUUUGCUCUCCCUUCAUAAUUUCACACAUCUAUUUGAUUACAAGUAUUCACAACCUUAACAUCUCCUUUGAUUUCACCUAUACCGCUUGGAAUAGGGAAUACAUUGAUGUAAUGUUGAAGCUACGACCUUUAGUCCAUGUACGCAUGGUCGUCCCAACAACAUGUUGUAUGGUGACUCAAUGUCAAUCACACACAGUGUUAUCUUUGUUUGAACCUCUCCCGGUAAUAUUCGCAUAACGAUUUCUCCUUUUGGCUUUGUAAUUGCUCUAUUGAAUCCAUGAACAUUAUAUGAUGUGGUUGUCAUUUCUGCAUCUUCAUAUCCUAUUUCUUUGAAUGUGCGAUAAAAUAUUACAUCAACUACACUUCCUAUAUCUAUCAAUGUUCUAUCAAUCGCCCAUCCUUCAAAUCCCCUCUGUUUUCCAAUAAUUUUUUCUCGCUCAGCUGUGACCGUAAUUACUAAUGGAUCUGUUCGCUGUAAGUUUUCUUCUGGAAUUUCAUCCGCCGCAAAGGAAAUUUUCACCUUUUCCCAAUCUUGUAAUGAAAUUCUUUGUCUACCGUCUCUAUCUUCUUACCUUCGUAAUUUGUUUUAUGAAUUCUCCCUGUUACUGUUGCUUGAAAAUCUGCCUCAGAAAUUGAUACUAUAAUUAUGUUAUUACACUGUAUAUCUCUGCCUCUUCCUUGAAUUAGUAUGAGUCUUCUCUUCAUGGAUCCCUUAUGAUUCUUCCUUAAUUUCCCUAAGAACUUCAGAUCUAUUAACAAGAAUUAUCAUCCAGAGCUGUUUCUAGCGCCAAAAAUGUAGUUGUCAUAAAUCUUACAAUUACGUUCCACUAUCACUAAAUGAGAAUUUAGGUGACCAUCUUCUUAUUAUAUGAAAUGUAGAUAGAAUUACAAAGAUUGAUCCAACUAUUACAAUGAUCUAUUUUCCCUAGAUUUACUUUCUCUUUCUAUUUCUUGACCAAGACUCACUCCAGAACUCCCUCACAAGUAAUGACUUCUCUCCUUUAUAUAAGAUUUUACAUAGUGGAUGACAACUAAGAAACCCACUAUUUUCAGGAUCACUAUGCGACACAUUCGCUCAUAUACAAUCGCUCAUCUUCGCAUAGAAUAUCUCUUCGCACAGUUCUUCGCACUUUACUCGUGACUUUGUUGACAUCAUCUGAUUCUUGAUGUCUGCACCAUCAUUUGCAUCAUUUAAUACCAUGUCCUACUUUCAUCAGUCUUGUGACACCUACAAAUCCUUAACCGUUCAAUGAAAUGUGCGCAAGUAAUAACGAUGUUGAGAACAAAAGCAUCA